Molecule: ribosomal RNA, 254 nt
Filed under: uncultured prokaryote
Description: partial 16S ribosomal RNA
Rfam family: Bacterial small subunit ribosomal RNA
Source: RNAcentral
UACGUAGGGAGCAAGCGUUGUCCGGAUUUAUUGGGCGUAAAGAGCUCGUAGGCGGCUUGGCAAGUCGGGUGUGAAAUCUCCAGGCUCAACCUGGAGGGGCCACUCGAUACUGCUAUGGCUAGAGUCCGGUAGGGGAUCACGGAAUUCCUGGUGUAGCGGUGAAAUGCGCAGAUAUCAGGAGGAACACCAGUGGCGAAGGCGGUGAUCUGGGCCGGUACUGACGCUGAGGAGCGAAAGCGUGGGGAGCGAACAGG